CAUUAAUGUAUUUGCUCUAUGUAUCAGUUACUACUGUAAUCCGUGCAGAGGAGAGUAGAGUGAACUGUUGUUUUAUACCAGUCAUAUUCCAGCAUUACUAACACAAAGGUUGAUAGUGAUAUUAGCAACUGUCCAAACCAUAAAGCAUUACACUUUACCAGGGCAUGCAUUUUGAAUACUAUUAAACUCCUGAUACUAAUAGAAAAUAAUACGAGGAAAUUAUGCCUAAAGUUUUACUUUUAU
This is a long non-coding RNA of Haliotis rubra (blacklip abalone), 243 nucleotides long. RefSeq lists it as uncharacterized. The transcript has 2 exons. Lineage: Eukaryota; Metazoa; Mollusca; Gastropoda; Lepetellida; Haliotidae. The record is from RefSeq and is a predicted model, not a curated record.